This 708-nucleotide ribosomal RNA is filed under the name uncultured Nitrospira sp. RNAcentral's name for it is "bacterial SSU rRNA". It matches the Rfam family "Bacterial small subunit ribosomal RNA", at positions 8 to 710 of the family's 1533-position model. The record is from RNAcentral. Lineage: Bacteria; Pseudomonadati; Nitrospirota; Nitrospiria; Nitrospirales; Nitrospiraceae.
AGAGUUUGAUCCUGGCUCAGAACGAACGCUGGCGGCGCGCCUAAUACAUGCAAGUCGAGCGAGAGGACGUAGCAAUACGUUUGUAAAGCGGCGAACGGGUGAGGAAUACAUGGGUAACCUACCCUCGAGUGGGGAAUAACUAGCCGAAAGGUUAGCUAAUACCGCAUACGACUCUUGGUCUGCGGAUCAAGAGAGAAAGCGAUACCGUGGGUAUCGCGCUCCUGGAUGGGCUCAUGUCCUAUCAGCUUGUUGGUGAGGUAACGGCUCACCAAGGCUUCGACGGGUAGCUGGUCUGAGAGGACGAUCAGCCACACUGGCACUGCGACACGGGCCAGACUCCUACGGGAGGCAGCAGUAAGGAAUAUUGCGCAAUGGGCGACAGCCUGACGCAGCGACGCCGCGUGGGGGAUGAAGGUCUUCGGAUUGUAAACCCCUUUCGGCAGGGAAGAUGGAACGGGUAACCGUUCGGACGGUACCUGCAGAAGCAGCCACGGCUAACUUCGUGCCAGCAGCCGCGGUAAUACGAAGGUGGCAAGCGUUGUUCGGAUUCACUGGGCGUACAGGGAGCGUAGGCGGUUGGGUAAGCCCUUCGUGAAAUCUCCGGGCCUAACCCGGAAAGUGCGGAGGGGACUGCUCGGCUAGAGGAUGGGAGAGGAGCGCGGAAUUCCCGGUGUAGCGGUGAAAUGCGUAGAGAUCGGGAGGAAGGCC